This is a non-coding RNA of Hydra vulgaris (swiftwater hydra), 188 nucleotides long. Lineage: Eukaryota; Metazoa; Cnidaria; Hydrozoa; Anthoathecata; Hydridae. The record is from RefSeq and is a predicted model, not a curated record.
UAGGAUGAACUAUUCAAAAUGAUACAAUUAUAUGCUACAUGGUGGCAAAUUUUCACUGGACGCUUACAAUAAUCAAACCAUUAGCAAAGACCAUUUAUUACAUAUAUCCUCUAGGAGAAAUGGUAACUUCUAUAAAAAACCAAGAAAUAAAAUGGAAUACCUACUUAAAACAAAGAUAUGGAGUUUGC